Molecule: small nucleolar RNA, 95 nt
Organism: Esox lucius (northern pike)
Lineage: Eukaryota; Metazoa; Chordata; Actinopteri; Esociformes; Esocidae
Product: small nucleolar RNA U83B
Source: Ensembl
GUGUGUCGGUGACGAGACCACGGAACACCGCGCCAGGCAUGGCGCCCGACACCCAAUGAGGAUAUAUUCCAGCUGCCUUCCUUCUGAGACCACAC